UUGUCCUACGGGAGGCAGCAGUGAGGAAUAUUGGUCAAUGGGCUAAGGCCUGAACCAGCCAAGUCGCGUGAGGGAAGAAGGCCCUGCGGGUCGCAGACCUCUUUGGACGGGGAGUAAGGCCGCCGACGUGUCGGCGGAAGGAGAGUACCCGUAGAACAAGCAUCGGCUAACUCCGUGCCAGCAGCCGCGGUAAUACGGAGGAUGCGAGCGUUAUCCGGAUUUAUUGGGUUUAAAGGGUGCGCAGGCGGCACGGCAAGCCGGCGGUCAAAUCGGGGGGCUCAACCCCGCCCAGCCG
Molecule: ribosomal RNA, 295 nt
Filed under: uncultured bacterium
Lineage: Bacteria
Description: partial 16S ribosomal RNA
Rfam family: Bacterial small subunit ribosomal RNA
Source: RNAcentral